AUUGAACGCUGGCGGCAGGCCUAACACAUGCAAGUCGAGCGGAUGAAGGGAGCUUGCUCCUGGCUUCAGCGGCGGACGGGUGAGUAAUGCCUAGGAAUCUGCCUUGUAGUGGGGGAUAACGUCCGGAAACGGGCGCUAAUACCGCAUACGUCCUGAGGUAGAAAGUGGGGGUUCUUCGGACCUCACGCUAUCUGAUGAGCCUAGUUCGGAUUAGCUAGUUGGUUGGGUAAAGGCCUACCAAGGCGACGAUCCGUAACUGGUCUGAGAGGAUGAUCAGUCACACUGGAACUGAGACACGGUCCAGACUCCUACGGGAGGCAGCAGUGGGGAAUAUUCGACAAUGGGCGAAAGCCUGACCCAGCAAUGCCGCGUGUGUGAUGAAGGUCUUCGGAUUGUAAAGCACUUUUAGUUGGGAGGAAGGACAGUAUGAUAAUACAUUGCUGUCUUGACGUUACCAACACAAAAAGCAACGGCUAACUACGUG
This 484-nucleotide ribosomal RNA is filed under the name uncultured bacterium. RNAcentral's name for it is "partial 16S ribosomal RNA". It matches the Rfam family "Bacterial small subunit ribosomal RNA", at positions 30 to 507 of the family's 1533-position model. The record is from RNAcentral.